AAUCAGGUUUUCUUAAAAACCACCAAGUUAUAUAGACAAAGGAUU
Molecule: non-coding RNA, 45 nt
Organism: Mesocestoides corti
Lineage: Eukaryota; Metazoa; Platyhelminthes; Cestoda; Cyclophyllidea; Mesocestoididae
Source: Rfam